RNAcentral lists this long non-coding RNA (3513 nucleotides) under Coffea arabica (coffee). RNAcentral's name for it is "long non-coding RNA (CARA_LNC001696)". Lineage: Eukaryota; Viridiplantae; Streptophyta; Magnoliopsida; Gentianales; Rubiaceae. The record is from RNAcentral.
CUGUAACUGUAUGCUGCUCAGCUCUUCAUCCUGCUAAUCUAAGAUCAGCCCUCUGUGAAGGAAUGUGCUUCAAAAGCAAACAGAGAUGCCCUACUUUAAUUGCAGGAGGCGGAACUGAGAACGGUGAGUAUUAGCCAGUCAUCUUCUUAUCUUUGGUGUUUGCAAUCUGAGCGCUUCUCUUUUCUUUUUCUUUUUUUUUUAAAUCAGACUUGUCUAGUUGUAAGUAGGUUGCAGAAAACAAUUUUAACCACAAAGUUAUAAAUUGAACCCUAUCUUCAAGGAAGAUGCUCUCUGCUUUCAUUCGACAUUCGUGUCGUAACUUGUAAGAUCACUAUGAAUCAUUGUUCUCAAAAUUAGUUAAAUGUUACUCGUAGUGGCUUAAAGUGCGAAAUUAUGGCAGGACUAAUUAAAUAAAGGUGGUAAAUGUAAUUGAAACUCAGAAAAAAAGUUUAGGUUGCAAUUUUUCUAGCUGUUAAUUUGAAUACUAAACAAUCAAAUGUGGAAGUUUACUGUUUUAGAGGCUUAAUGUGAUAUUCGUCCAUGUUGUCAUAGGCUUACCUGUUAAUUGCCAGUUUACUGAAUCGUUUAUGUUCUUUUUUGUUUUUGCCCUUGUACAUUGCCCUCUUUGAUACUGUUCUGGGGCUCUGGAUCUUGUGAUUUUCGGGUGACUGGCUGUUUAGAAUCCUUUCUUGUUAUUUUUGUUGACAUUUCUACUUGAAAUUGGAGCAGGUUUAGAACUUUCGAUUUUUAAGAUAAAAAGGGUGAUCCUGAUCUGAAUCCUAAGCAAUAAAUCUCUCGAUUACACAAUUUCGUGCAGCCAAUUUAAGAUCAAUUGAAAAGCAUUCUUGGAAAUUGCUGCUACAAGACUACUUUCUUGUUGUUGUUGUUUAGACCAAUGUAGCUAGUUCUGUACCUGGAAAAUCAACUGACAUAUAGCUAAAUUUCGACCAUCUUAUUGUUGGGAUUUUGAAAGCAAGACUUACAGCUCCCAGUCAAUAUAUUGUCCUUCGCCAUUAUAUAGAAAUUUCUUUGGCAAAUGUCUCCCUACUGAGACCUGAUUGAAUGGGGAAACCUUAUGGGUACUAUGAGUGCUAAAAGGUUAACAACUGGUUCCUGGGAUGCCAAGACGCCACAUUUUCUGCUAGUAUAUCAUGAGGAAGUGUGUCCUGAGUAAUUGAGAUAGUCAUUUGUAGGGGUAAUGCACCUUGACAACCUAGAAUAAUUAGCUUGUCAUCCAGAGUUGUCCCAGGGACUGGGCCGUCACAUGCGAAUAAUUAGGAGAAGUCCCUUGACCCAUUUGAGAUUAGUUCAAUUUUCUUGGAUUGACCCCUUAAAUGUCUAAUUGUCAUCAAUAGAAUAGACUGCAAUGUUGUUAAACUCAGACUGAAUAGCGACUCAAUUAAACUACUCGGUCAAGGAUCAACUGCUUGGAUCGGUCAGACUGUUUUCAAAAACCCGCUAACGCUAGCAUGAUGUUAUAAUUUUUUUAUAUUUUUAUAAGAUUCAGAAAUAUUGAAAUUAAGUUCUUGGUUAUAUUUGACUAAUCAUGAAAAAUGUUCCAAAUAUAUUAGAGUUGCAAUCAAAUAUACACCUAAUAAUUAUAUACAAAAAUGUAAAUUCAUGGUUAAAAUAUGUCUAUUCUCCAAAACUAAUUAAAAAACUAAAUUAAAACAAAUUAAUGCAAGUUGGAAUCACUGAUGCUAAAUUAAGGAGAUCAUAAGGAUGAAAACAUCUUGAUUUAGAGAUCAUUUAGGAAAGCAAAUAAUUUUGAUAUUUACACUAAAUGGGUGACGUUUUCUUAUUCCCAUUAAUAAAUGAAAGUUUUACAAUAUAGGUAACUCAAAUUAUAUUUGGAGAAAAGAAAAAAGAAAAGUUUGAGAAUCGAGUCAACUAGUCGAAUCAGGUUACUAGUUUAUUUAGUUUUUGAUGGUUUUAACUGGUUUUUAACCAAAACCGAUUAUACUACAAAUCAGUUUGAAAAAAUCGGAUCGAUUGAACCAGCCAAUUCGAUCUGGUCUAACAACACUGCAACAGAGAAGCCUUCACAACCACAAGUGGUUCCCAGGAAAUUCGUCAGAAUCUCUCCUGUGGUUUAAUGUAAUGCACCUUUGAACAUGCAUAAACUUUUGUCUGCUACAACUCUAACUGCAGGGGACAGGGCCUAUCAUGUGUUUAAGGCUUGUCUCCUAAAGUGGGCCUUGCACUCUUACCAAGAAGUUAUGAAUUCCGAAUAAAAAUAAUUAUUUGUCUAUUGUGAACUAGAAGUAGGAUGUUAACCCAUAAAUGGUGACCCUUGGGACUAUGAAUGAUCCGACUAACUAUUCAUAUUUCUAGACUGGAACGCUUACUGAGACAGUUGAUCAUCCAGUUUCCACAGAGUUAUUGAACCCCCACCCCACCACACCCCAUCGAGCCAUGUAGCUUAUUAAUUUAGAUUUUGUACAGAUCUGCAGAUACCUUUAUGUUGGGAUCUUUAGGAAGAAGGAAUUGGCUACCAAGGAACAAAUGAGGCAAUUGAGGUAACAUUAUUGUUUCCAUUUUCCUGUUGCUUGAUUUUCUUUCAAUUUUCAUGCAGCUACAUAGAUGUACUAAGAAGGAAUGUUUAUCACUGAAGUCGAGACUGCCCUGUCCUAAAAUUGCAGUAUAGACGGUCUAGUAGUUGAGUGUGUUAAUCUUGGUUUGGGUAAUCUGGGUCCAUGUAAUAUUUUAGGCAGAUUCUGCAAUUCCUAUUUGUUAUUACAUCCUCAGGUUGACAUUAUUGUUGCAUGAUGAAACAAGUAUUUCUAAAAUUUCGAUCGUAAAAUUUCAGUUAUUAUUCUAAACGUAGACUCGUACAUAUCAUCAUUGAUACAAACAAAAUAAGGGGAUGUUUCCUUACUGGAACCAUAAAGUUUUUCAAAUUUUAUAAAACUAAAAUCGAAAAGUUUAGUGUGUUAAUUAAAACAAAACAAAAAAAAUUUUGAUUUCUUCCAUGUCUAAAAGCGUUGACCAUAUUGUUUUUAAUCUUAUCUUUUCAGCUCCACUAGUGUUUGGUUUGCAGAUCAGGUGAUGGGGCUUUGAACAUGUUAUACAAGGCUUUGUGUCGAAUUACACAGCGAAUUGGCUGACCCUUUUCUUUUUGGUUUGGAAAGAAAGAAAUAGAGUACCACCGGUAUUUAACUCUGCAUAACGUAAAUGUGUAGGUUGUGAAGAGGUGAGUAGUGAUGGGACUAAUUUUGGGAUCUGCUUAUAGGUCAUUUUUGCAUGCGAAAUGUUUGUGAUAUAUCAACAAAUACUGGUAACUGGACUUCAUUUGAGUGAAUUUUUAGACAUCGCAUUGGCCCCCUUUAUCAAAAUUAGCAUAUACUACCACCUUCUUGAACAAGAUUAUCCUCCCAAUUUCCCUAAGGUGUCCCCAAGCACAUCAAUUGAGAAUAUCAAAGGAAGAUUCUGUAAUUACGAAAAACUUCAAAUUCUAACGAAAUGAGAAUUUUUGGAUCCUGUACCUGAAAGCAAACGUAGGGAUUAAAUCUA